This 79-nucleotide transfer RNA is filed under the name Vibrio parahaemolyticus. RNAcentral describes it as "tRNA-Asp". Lineage: Bacteria; Pseudomonadati; Pseudomonadota; Gammaproteobacteria; Vibrionales; Vibrionaceae. The record is from RNAcentral.
GGCCAAAUUGCCUAACUUCGGUGAACUUAAGGACUGGUCAAGUCUUAAGUGAAAGGUUCGAAUCCUUUUUAGGCAACCA